CCUACGUGCUGCACCAGUGGGGAAUAUUGCACAAUGGGCGCAAGCCUGAUGCAGCCAUGCCGCGUGUGUGAAGAAGGCCUUCGUGUUGUAAAGCACUUUCAGCGGGGAGGAAGGCGUUAAGGUUAAUAACCUUAGCGAUUGACGUUACCCGCAGAAGAAGCACCGGCUAACUCCGUGCCAGCAGCCGCGGUAAUACGGAGGGUGCAAGCGUUAAUCGGAAUUACUGGGCGUAAAGCGCACGCAGGCGGUCUGCCAAGUCGGAUGUGAAAUCCCCGGGCUCAACCUGGGAACUGCAUUCGAAACUGGCAGGCUAGAGUCUUGUAGAGGGGGGUAGAAUUCCAGGUAUAGCGGUGAAAUGCGUAGAGAUCUGGAGGAAUACCGGUGGCGAAGGCGGCCCCCUGGACAAAGACUGACGCUCAGGUGCGAAAGCGUGGGGAGCAAACAGGAUUAGAUACCCUUGUAGUC
This 465-nucleotide ribosomal RNA is filed under the name uncultured bacterium. RNAcentral describes it as "bacterial SSU rRNA". It matches the Rfam family "Bacterial small subunit ribosomal RNA", at positions 338 to 795 of the family's 1533-position model. The record is from RNAcentral.